UAGGGAAUAUUGGUAAUGUGCGAAAGCGCGAACCAGCAACGCCGCGUGCACGAUGAAGGCCUUCGGGUCGUAAAGUGCUUUUAGAGAGGAUGAGGAAGGACAGUACUUUCUGAAUAAGCCUCGGCUAACUACGUGCCAGCAGCCGCGGUAAAACGUAGGAGGCUAGCGUUAUCCGGAUUUACUGUGCGUAAAGCGCAUGCAGGUGGUUUUGUAAGUUGGAUGUGAAAGCUCCUGGCUUAACUGGGAGAGGUCGUUCAAAACUACAAGACUUGAUAUUGAUAGAGGAAAAUGGAAUUCCGGGUGUAGUGGUGAAAUGCGUAGAUAUCCGGAGGAACACCAGUGGCGAAAGCGGUUUUCUGGACCAAUUCGGACACUCAGA
This 379-nucleotide ribosomal RNA is filed under the name uncultured bacterium. RNAcentral describes it as "bacterial SSU rRNA". It matches the Rfam family "Bacterial small subunit ribosomal RNA", at positions 355 to 751 of the family's 1533-position model. The record is from RNAcentral.